RNAcentral lists this long non-coding RNA (672 nucleotides) under Taeniopygia guttata (zebra finch). RNAcentral describes it as "lncRNA (ENSTGUG00000024420.1)". The record is from RNAcentral. Lineage: Eukaryota; Metazoa; Chordata; Aves; Passeriformes; Estrildidae.
GGCUGCAAGGGACUGUAAAGAUCAUCCAGUUUCAACCCCCCUGCCACGGGCAGUGACACCUUCCACAAGACCAGGUUGUUUAAAGCCCCAUCGAUCCUGGCCUUGAAGGGGCUUCCACAACUUCUCUGGGAAACCUGUUCCACUGCCUCACCACCCUCACAGUGAAGAAUUUCUUCCCAACAUCUAAUCCAAACCUAAUCUAAAUUCUGUCAGUUUAAAGCCAUUAUAACCCUCGUCCUAUCGCUACAUCCUUUGUAAAAAAUCCUUCUCCCGCCCUCUUGUGGGCACCCUUUAAGUACUGGAAGGUGCUCUGAGGUCUCCCUGCAGCCUUCUCUUCUCCAGGCUGAACAACCCCAGCUGUCUGCACAAGAGAGAUGCUCCAGACCUCUAAGAAUCUUUGUGACCCUCUCUGGAGCUGCUCCAACACUUCACUUCCUUCUUUUAUCCACAUACCCACCACUUCCCUCUAGUCCUUAUCCCUGCGGCUCCCGGGCUCUGCCCUUUGGUUACCCUGCCCUGCGUGAGGGAGCAGCUCGGCCACUCUCCUUCCCGCGCUCCGGGGCGGCGCUUCCCCGCCGGGCCUGCUCCCCGGCAUUCCCGGCAUGUGGAGGAGGCUCUCCCGCUCCAGCCGCCCGAGUGGCUUCUGGUGUAGACCAGGCAGUUCUCACAUGA